Molecule: ribosomal RNA, 387 nt
Filed under: uncultured microorganism
Description: bacterial SSU rRNA
Rfam family: Bacterial small subunit ribosomal RNA
Source: RNAcentral
GAGUUUGAUCUUGGCUCAGAUUGAACGCUGGCGGCAUGCCUUACACAUGCAAGUCGAACGGCAGCAUGAUCUAGCUUGCUAGAUUGAUGGCGAGUGGCGAACGGGUGAGUAAUACAUCGGAACGUGCCCUGUAGUGGGGAUAACUAGUCGAAAGAUUAGCUAAUACCGCAUACGACCUGAGGGUGAAAGUGGGGGACCGCAAGGCCUCAUGCUAUAGGAGCGGCCGAUGUCUGAUUAGCUAGUUGGUGGGGUAAAGGCCCACCAAGGCGACGAUCAGUAGCUGGUCUGAGAGGACGAUUAGCCACACUGGGACGUGAGACACGGCCCAGACUCCUACGGGAGGCAGCAGUGGGGAAUUUUGGACAAUGGGCGAAAGCCUGAUCCAGC